UAACCUACGGGAGGCAGCAGUGAGGAAUAUUGGUCAAUGGGCGCGAGCCUGAACCAGCCAAGUCGCGUGAGGGAAGACGGUCCUAUGGAUUGUAAACCUCUUUUGUCGGGGAGCAAAAGACGCCACGCGUGGCGUUCCGAGAGUACCCGAAGAAAAAGCAUCGGCUAACUCCGUGCCAGCAGCCGCGGUAAUACGGAGGAUGCGAGCGUUAUCCGGAUUUAUUGGGUUUAAAGGGCGCGCAGGCGGGCUGUUAAGCCGGCGGUAAAAAUUCAGGGCUCAACCCUUUCGAGCCGUCGGAACUGGCA
Molecule: ribosomal RNA, 305 nt
Filed under: uncultured bacterium
Lineage: Bacteria
Description: bacterial SSU rRNA
Rfam family: Bacterial small subunit ribosomal RNA
Source: RNAcentral